CCCUUAGAUGUCCUGGGCCGCACGCGCGCUACACUGAGUGUCUGAGAUACGAGUCUGCCUGGUCCGGCAAGGUCUAGGUAAUCGCUAAAAGACACAUCAUGCUUGGGAUAGAUUAUUGCAAAUAUUAAUCUUGAACGAGGAAUUCCUAGUAAGCGCAAGUCAACAGCUUGCGUUGAUUACGUCCCUGCCCUUUGUACACACCGCCCGUCGCUACUACUGAUUGGAUGUUUAAGCGAGGUUCUCGAACUGCUAGCGACUUAGCUUCGGUGAGGUCGCAGUGUGGGAAGUGAACCUAGGUUUGGUGUCUAGAGGAAGUAAAAGUCGUAACA
Molecule: ribosomal RNA, 329 nt
Filed under: uncultured eukaryote
Lineage: Eukaryota
Description: partial 18S ribosomal RNA
Rfam family: Eukaryotic small subunit ribosomal RNA
Source: RNAcentral